This 74-nucleotide transfer RNA is filed under the name Melampsora larici-populina 98AG31. RNAcentral's name for it is "tRNA-Asn (GTT) (tRNA-Asn-GTT-2-1)". It matches the Rfam family "tRNA". From Rfam's summary of the family: Transfer RNA (tRNA) molecules are approximately 80 nucleotides in length. Their secondary structure includes four short double-helical elements and three loops (D, anti-codon, and T loops). Lineage: Eukaryota; Fungi; Basidiomycota; Pucciniomycetes; Pucciniales; Melampsoraceae. The record is from RNAcentral.
GUCUCCGUGGCGCAAUUGGUUAGCGCGUCUGACUGUUAAUCAGGAGGCUGGCAGUUCAAGCCUGCCCGGGGACG